Molecule: long non-coding RNA, 692 nt
Filed under: Rattus norvegicus (Norway rat)
Lineage: Eukaryota; Metazoa; Chordata; Mammalia; Rodentia; Muridae
Description: long non-coding RNA NONRATT024341
Source: RNAcentral
GAGAUAUGGCUUACCCAUAAAAAACUAAGUUUUCCAACUACAAACAACCAAAACCACCAAUCAAAAUCAUGCUUAAAUUCACUGCGGAGGAUUGGCUCUGAGCUGGAGUGCUUGGCUGACCUUCAGGCCAUCCCUGAUGUCAGGCUCCUGCUCAGCUCACACAGGUUGGGUCCAGAAGCUAACUCUUCUCUGUGCUUUAUUGACAGGUCAUGUCUUGACUGCAUUGGGAAAAAUGCGAUCAUUUUAAAAAGUCAAAUAUCUUUAUUACCUCCUAAACUUCUGCAGCAAGUCUUCCAAAAAAUAACAUUUUGGACUGCAGCCAAUUACCGAAAGGAGCAAAGAAUCCAAAAGGGAGAGACAGAAAAUAAGCAGCCUAGGGUCAGUAGCUGCUGAGCCCUCUGAGCCCAGUGUGUGAGCGUGUUUGCAUCAGACCACACAGUCCACCUCUGCUGAAGUGAAGGCUGCCUUGCAGGAUACAAGUGUUUGCCAAUGUGAUUCCAUGGUACAAGAUGUAUGGAAAUAAGACGUAGUUAAAGAUUUAUCUGUGUGUUUGUAAACUGAUUUUCUUAUAAAAGAAUAAGUGUUCUUUCUGGGAAUAAGUACAGUAACAACAGAUCUUAACUCAGUGUGUACUCUUUUCUUGAGAGAUUAUACAGAUUUGAAGAACAGACAUUGCUCUAAGAUCUUCAGAA